GAGCAAUCUGUGUGACUGCGUACCUUUUGUAUAAUGGGUCAGCGACUUAUAUUCUGUAGCAAGGUUAACCGAAUAGGGGAGCCGAAGGGAAACCGAGUCUUAACUGGGCGUUAAGUUGCAGGGUAUAGACCCGAAACCCGGUGAUCUAGCCAUGGGCAGGUUGAAGGUUGGGUAACACUAACUGGAGGACCGAACCGACUAAUGUUGAAAAAUUAGCGGAUGACUUGUGGCUGGGGGUGAAAGGCCAAUCAAACCGGGAGAUAGCUGGUUCUCCCCGAAAGCUAUUUAGGUAGCGCCUCGUGAAUUCAUCUCCGGGGGUAGAGCACUGUUUCGGCAAGGGGGUCAUCCCGACUUACCAACCCGAUGCAAACUGCGAAUACCGGAGAAUGUUAUCACGGGAGACACACGGCGGGUGCUAACGUCCGUCGUGAAGAGGGAAACAACCCAGACCGCCAGCUAAGGUCCCAAAGUCAUGGUUAAGUGGGAAACGAUGUGGGAAGGCCCAGACAGCCAGGAUGUUGGCUUAGAAGCAGCCAUCAUUUAAAGAAAGCGUAAUAGCUCACUGGUCGAGUCGGCCUGCGCGGAAGAUGUAACGGGGCUAAACCAUGCACCGAAGCUGCGGCAGCGACGCUUAUGCGUUGUUGGGUAGGGGAGCGUUCUGUAAGCCUUUGAAGGUGUACUGUGAGG
This 687-nucleotide ribosomal RNA is filed under the name Escherichia coli. RNAcentral's name for it is "partial 23S ribosomal RNA". It matches the Rfam family "Bacterial large subunit ribosomal RNA", at positions 582 to 1268 of the family's 2925-position model. The record is from RNAcentral. Lineage: Bacteria; Pseudomonadati; Pseudomonadota; Gammaproteobacteria; Enterobacterales; Enterobacteriaceae.